CAAAAGGCAUUGGACUCUUGGUGGUUCCAUGAGAGGCUCAGCUCUAUAGAAUCCCUUUCUUGUGUCUCUAAACUCUCCAGGCUGUGCACACUGAGACAGAGUUGCUUUGCCCAACCUUCGCCCUAACCUGCACAAGUUCUGAACCCCUGUCUCUGGAAGGUUAACUUGGAAAAGUUUGGUGUAUUUUUCAAAUUGCAGGCUGUGACUUAUUAGUGGAUUAUGAAAUCUAGUUCUCACAAAUGAGUAAUUUGAAAAAAAAAGAAUAGUAUAGAAAGUAUCAUGGUACAUCACUUAAAGUAACUAGAAGUACUAUUUUUGGAAAUUUUAUUUUGUGGAGGUGUGUGUGUUGGGGGGUGGCAGUGCUGGGUAGUGUCUUUUGUCAUAUUCCCUAGAAGCAGAGCUCCAGAAGAGGAUUUGGGUGGAUGUUGUGAUCUCUUUAAGGCAUGCUCAAAAAAAAAGGAAGCCUUAUCCCCUGGAAAGUUCUGAAGCUUGAAUUGUACCAGAGUUGGUGCUACUUGAGACAAGGGUAACUCCUGAACCCCCAUGUCAACAGCCAGUCACUCUCUAUAUGGAGCUCUGAGGAAGAGGGGUACAUAACCUUCUGGAAAGGCAGCUCCUGUUUAGCCAAGGGUAAAUCUCUAGAGAAGGAGGCAGCUGUGACUUUGAACAGCCAACACUCAGCAUCUGGGGAUGGGUAUACCAGCCAGCAUGGGGUUACUAUUUGUGUCCAUUUCAGGGAAUGAUAUAAAAUGCACUUCUCUUAGUGUGGUUCAUGGUAAUAAAAUAUUUGAGAAACACUGGUUCAGAAGCAUUUAGUCCAUCAACCUGUGGGAAAGAAAAUGAGGCCUUCAGCACCACCUUUUCCUCAUUUCAUUAGACAAAGGCAAAUUCCCACAUGUAAAAGGAAUGUUAUCCCCAUGAGAGAAGACGUGCCACCAUGAAAGGAAGCAAAAUACAGAGAAUGUUUUUAAUGCUUUAAGCUUAAGCCUUAAGGCCCCAGCAACCAUCUAAGGAGUCUUUAGAGCUGUGUUUCCUGAUUGGGAGUGAACCACCCUGAAGGUGUGGGCUAUUAGGGGGACCUUGAAACUGUGAAAUAAGCAUGACACAUAUUCAUCAAGCCUUAUUAAUGGAGCUCAGUUAAAUAUUUUAAAACUUUCUUUAUGAAUAUAAUAUAGAAUGAAAUAUAAAAGUCACAUGAAUUUUGAAGAUGAAGAAUAAAGUUACAAAGAGAUUUCAGAUUUCAGAUCAUCCCUUUGCACCAUGCUCCCAGACUCUUAGAGGUUCUUGUUCAUUGACCUCUGCAGUUAGACACUCCAGGAGAAAACGAGGAAAAGUGUCAGAGUAAUUAUUCUUCUCCUUUCAGGAGGGACCAAUUAACAUGAAAAGCUGAUUCCCCAAGUCCUCCAGGAUCUGAGCAGUUUGCUGGGAGCUGACAUUCAUCCAGCCAACAGUCUCAGUCACCAAUCCUAAACCACCAGAACGUUAUUAAGAGCACCAGCUAGGCAUUAGUGAUGGAGAUGACAUGGUGAAUGAGACAGACAGUCCUGCCUGAUAGGCUGUGCUGGUCGGGGAAUUCAGACCAAAUCAAGUAAAUAAUGCAGUGUCAUUAGAGCAGCUCAAACCCUUCUGGUUUUCUGCCUUUCGAGCGCCUAUUAGGAGUGCAGUGGCAGGGGUCCCAGGUGGGUCAGUGGGACAUUGAUGAGUUCUGGCCAGUGAAUCAUGACUGGAAGUGAUGUGUGUUCCCUCUGAGCCAAGUAAGUGGUUAAUGUAAGGUCCCCCUGGAGCUCUCUCUCCCCUCUGGCACAGUGACCAGCUAAGUGCUCCACAUGUGGCUGCUCCAUCAGCGGGUCCCUGAGCUGAGCAUCGCAGCUGAUGCCACAGACAGGUGGAGUGAAAAAGUAAUAAACUCUUGCUGUUUUAAGCUCCUGAGAUUUUGAGGUUUUUAUUACUGUACCAUAGAUUAUCUUGACUGAUAAAAAGCAAUAAAAUAAAAUCUUAUAAAUAUAACUGCUGUGAAUAAUAUGAAUAUGUUGCUAAUAGAAGAGGUAGGGAAUGGUUUACACGGCCAGGGAGUGCUUCUGUGAUGAUAGGAAAUUUGAGCUGGGAUCUAAUAGAUCAAGGUAAUUCAUAUUUCCAUAAUUGUUUUGCUUUAUUUUUGGACAGGAGUAAAGUAGCCCUAGAAUCACGGGGCCAGACAGGCAGGAAAAAGUAAGGGCAUAGACUUGCAGGAAGUCACACAUCUAAUGGGUGUUAAGGUGAGAGCUGUAACUUUGGCAUGUGGACAUGGGUCCAGGCCCUCUAUGGUAGGGCUGCAACUAAAGUGGGGCAGGUGAGGUGCCAAGGGUACGACACUGAAGGCUGCUCUCUGGCCCACCCUACACUUUCAUCCUUGAGAGUGCCUCCCUAGAAGUUGUGCCCUAUGGGGCCCACCCUUAAGGAGGCACUUAUUUAUCAGGAUCAUGCAAGGCAAAGCUGACACCUGGGAGUGAGUGCCUACUUAAAAUGUGGCACCCUAAGCACCUCUCUUGCCUCACCCUAGUCCUAGCUCUGCUCUGCACCAAUGUUCUCAGUAACAGUAACAUAUAAGCACAUAGCUUUGGGUGGUUGUGGCUGUGUCCUUGGCUUUCUGAUGUUAUCUGAAAUAGUUUUACCGUCAUGGGGACCAUGUGACAGAAAACAAGGCACUUCAAGGCAGGCUGCCAAGAUUUAGCCUCUUUUCAGAGUCUUUGGUGGAUAACCAAACAAGGAGACCAGGGAGUGAGAUUUGGGGAGUUUUAGGAAGGGCUGCAAGCUGACUGGGACCCAUCUUCCCCCUCAGUGCAGAACAAGCCUUUCUUCCACUCUGAAAAUGUAGUUCACCUGCAUAGAAGGAAUUUGAUGAAGUACAUUCUCAGCAAGGUGUCUGUGGCUAACUGCACCCUCUUUUCCUGGAAGCAGGUUUGGGGCAAGAACAUAGGAGAGAGCAGCUGACAGCUAACAGCUUGUAUAUGUGGAUCACGGCUACAUUAUGAAGGUGGCUUGAUCAUUGCCACUUUCCAGAGAAAGAAACUGUCUCUGAGUCUAAGGAACUUACCCAUUUGAACACAAGUCUACCUCUUACCUGCUUGAGGAUAAGCAUUAGCAGAAAGGGUAAAAGGUGGUGACUAGAAGUGAUAACCUGGAGGAGAGGACAGAUAAUAGAAAGGAGACAAAGCCACCUACUUUACAAGGUAUUCUUAACCUGGGCCACCCCUGAUUUUUGUAUAAAAUUUCACAAAGCCUCCACUUCCCAGAUCAUUGUUCUUAGGUAUUUUCUAACCAGACUGUUGAAGAAGUGGGUGUGUAUUAAACAAAACCCAGAAUUUGUGCAGACCUUGGGCAUAUAGAGAGUCUCUACUUGGCCAUGUCUUUUCUCCCCCCCCCCCCAGUUUGACAAGGUAUAAUUUACAACCCAUGAAAUUCACCAGUUGCAAGAGUCGAGCUGAUGAUUUUUAGUACUUUUAUAUAAUUUGAAGCCAUUAUCACUUCUAUAAUCCCUGCAUUUCCCUGUUGUGGCUAUUUGUGAUCAUUCCCCUUUCCUAUCCCCAGCUCCAGGUAAUCACUACUUUCUGUAUCUAUAGUUUUGCCUUUACUAGAUAGAUGGGAUCAUACCUAUGUAGCCAGUUGUAUUUGGUUCUGUCACAUCAAGGAAUGUUUUUGAGAUUCAAUCAUGCUCUUGCUUUUAUCAGUAUUACUCUGUAAUAUUGCUGCAUUCUUAUGCCCUUGUAUGGAUAGACCAUAUUUUAAUUAUCCACUCACCAGAUGAUUAUUGUUGCCACGGUUGGGAUGUUUUGACUAAUGCUGAUGUGGACAUUCACGUACUUGUCUUUGUGUUGACAUAUAUUUUCAUUUCUCUUGGGUAUAUACCUAGGAGUGUGUCGCUGGAUGGUAUGGUGAGUGUAUGUUUACCUGUUAAAGAAACUGCUAAACUUUUUUCCCCAAAGUUGCUGUAAUCAUCUUAGAUUCCCACCAGCAAUGAGUGCAUGAAUAUUCCAAUUUCUCCACAUCCUUGUGAACACUUGGUAUCAUCAGACGUCUUGGUUAUAGUCAUUUUAGUGAAAGCAUGCUGAAAACUUAUUAUGGCUUUAAUUUGUAUUUCCCUAAUCCAGGGAACCCUUCCAUGUGCCACAGGUGUGGCCCCAAAAAGACAAUAAAUAAAUAAAUAAAUAAAUAAGUACUUCCGAAUGUCUGAACCAGGUGUUUCUUAUUGGCUCUGGUCUACCACAUCUGUUCCUUGACUCAGUAGAAGUGCAGUUGUUUGGCGUCAUUGUUUAUACAGUUGAAGCCACCCGAGCCCAUCCAUCCACAUUUCUUCUAGCUAACUAGCUUUGGCUUCUCUUUUUCCCAGAGGCUGUCUGUGCCCCUGCUAGCCCUCAAACUCCUUCCCGACACUAAUGUCCUGGACAUAGUACUUGCCACUUGGUAUUGAACACUAUGGCUUUGAAAUCAAGGGCAGGCUGGGAACAUGUAGUUGGGUGGAUUUCCCAGAGGAUGCUGGAGGGAAAACAGCUGUCGACUUCCAUUUCAAUUUGUCAAGGAAGGCAGCUGGAAUUGUUAGGCCAUUCAGUUUCCUGGGAUCUCUUGGGGGAGGACAGGGCAGAGGGACCUCCCAGGAAAGGAUGGGCCAGAGGAACCCCAAAAUCGUAAUUCUUACUUAAAAUGCUUGCAGAACUGAUGGUUUAUCAUCUCAUAGUUUUAGCCCAAUUGUAAUAUCUAUUUUUGGAGAGUUCCCAUAGUGGCGCAGUGGAAAUGAAUCUGACUAGGAACCAUGAGGUUGCAGCUUCCAACCUUGCUCAGUGCGUUAAGGAUCCGCCGUUGCUGUGAGCUGUGGUGCAGGUCACAGACAAAGCUUGGAUCUGGCAUUACUAUGGCUGUGGUGUAGGCUGGCAGCUGUAGCUCCAAUUAGACCCCUAGCCUGGGAACCUCCAUAUGCUGCGAGCGCGGCUCUAAAAAGACCAAAAAAAAAAAA
Molecule: long non-coding RNA, 4987 nt
Filed under: Sus scrofa (pig)
Lineage: Eukaryota; Metazoa; Chordata; Mammalia; Artiodactyla; Suidae
Description: lncRNA (ENSSSCG00045017525.1)
Source: RNAcentral